GUGCUCGCCUCGGCAGCACAUAUACUAAAAUUGGAACGAUACAGAGAAGAUUAGCANGGUUCCUGCACAAGGAUGGCAUGCAAAUUCGUGAAACGUUCUAUUUUUUU
RNAcentral lists this small nuclear RNA (107 nucleotides) under Salvator merianae (Argentine black and white tegu). The record is from RNAcentral. Lineage: Eukaryota; Metazoa; Chordata; Lepidosauria; Squamata; Teiidae.